Molecule: long non-coding RNA, 1282 nt
Filed under: Parus major (Great Tit)
Lineage: Eukaryota; Metazoa; Chordata; Aves; Passeriformes; Paridae
Description: lncRNA (ENSPMJG00000003987.1)
Source: RNAcentral
CGACGUUGGUGACCGCGUUAACGCUGAGCACCGCGCUGACCCCUCCGGCCACCGCAGUGACCCCGCUGACCCCUCCGGCCACACCGCUGACCGGUCCGGUUACCGCACUGACCCCUCCGGCCACCGCAGUGACCCCUCCGGUCACCCCGCUGACCACUCCGGACACCGCGCUGACCCCGCUGACCCCUCCGGACACCGCACUGACCCCUCCGGCCACCCCGCUGACCGCUCCAGACACCGCACUGACCCCGCUGACCCCGCUGACCGCUCCGGCCACCCCGCCGAGCACCGCGCUGACCGCUCCGGGCGCCGCAUUCACCGCCACGGCCAAAGCACCGGGCAGGGCGGCGGGGGCCGCGCUCAGCCCGUUGGGCACGGCCGGAGCCCCGGGGCGGGCCGGGGCCGGGAGCGGGGCCGGGAGCGGGGCAGGAACCGGGGCAGGAACCGGGGCAGGAACCGGGGCAGGAACCGGUCCCGUUGCCGUUGCCGGUGCCGUUGCCGGCUCGCUGUCGGCGGCGCGGUGGCAGCGGCGGUGCCGCACCAGGCUGGAGCCGUGGCUGUAGGCGCGGCCGCAGGUGCGGCACUCGUAGGGCCGGGGCUCGGCGGGGCUGCCGUGCUCCUGCAUGUGCUGCACCAGGUGCGAGGCCUGGCGGAACGCCUUGGGGCAGGCGGCGCACGGGAAGCGCCGCUCCACCAGGUACUUGAGGCGCCUGAAGUAGCCGCGCUCCUGGCGGGGCUCCGGGGCCCGCUUCAGCCCCCCGAGGAGGUGCUGGUGGCCGGACAGGUCCACGAUGCCCCACUGCGGAGCGGGGAACGCGGCCCCCGCCUCCAGCAGCGGCUGCGGGGGCGGCGGCAGCGGCGGCGCCGCCAACGGAGCCGCCCCCAGGGAGCCCUCGGGCUUUUUGGGGUGCGCGGAGGAGGAGGAGGAGGAGGAGGAGGAAGGGGGGAGCGCGGGGGGCUCGGCUUUGUGCUUGGGGAGGGGCCCGCGCUCGAAGGGCGGCGCGGCGGCGGCCGGGGGGUACUCGAAGGGCCCCGGGGGCAGCGGCAGCGCCUUGGCCGGGGGCUCGAAGGGCUCGGGCGGCUCCGGCCGCGGGUGCGUCAGGAAGUCCAGGAAAUCGAAGGGGUACGCGGGGAAGUGCCCGCUCUCGUCGCUCACGUUCGCCUCCAUGGCCGGGGCGCUGCCGGGGGUCGCGGAGCCCCGGGAAGGGCCCGGGGAAGGGNNNNNNNNNNNNNNNNNNNNNNNNNNNNNNNNNNNNNNNNNNNNNNNNNNNNNNNNNNNNNN